Clupea harengus (Atlantic herring) is the source of this 605-nucleotide long non-coding RNA. RefSeq lists it as uncharacterized. Lineage: Eukaryota; Metazoa; Chordata; Actinopteri; Clupeiformes; Clupeidae. The record is from RefSeq and is a predicted model, not a curated record. The transcript is spliced from 3 exons.
UGUAACCACACCCCUUCUCCUGUUGAAGUGCUUUCCUGAUUUGCCGGACCUGUAUUCCUAGCCUUCCCUCUGACGCUCGCCUUCGGUAUGUCCUUGUCCCUGCAUGUUCAGUGAGGAACCGUACUUCGCCGCUGACCUCGUCAUUCCAGUUAUAACUGUUAAGCCUCAUCUGCUUAGCCAGUGAGACUCCGUGACCGUGCUGAAGGGCCUGAUCACAACGGUGCUGCUGUUUUGUUUAGCCUGACAAUGCCUGUAUGAUCCAGCAUGCUCGUUACUCUGCCAAACUGUUGUUUUGCAUGUUGGUCUGACAUAUCUCUGAGCUGGGUGUUCGUUUUCUUUGUCAUGUUGUUUUUGUCUGGGCAUUGUACCAUCUUGUCAACUCCAAUGGGGUAAUGCUUCUGUCUGGUGUAUUUUCUGUCUGCAUGUGACUGUGGAUAAGGCUGGUGGCGCUGUAGCUGUCCUGGUGCAUGUUGGUUAUUUGUUCUGGUCUGUAGUUAGUCUCUAUAGAUGAUUGCUAUUAUUGUCUGAGUGAUUCAUGCUUAUGAUGGACUGUUGGUAUCUCCUGGUGCAAUAAUUGUUUUCAUUUUAUUUAUUAAGCAGUUGCU